UUCUAAGGGCGUUGAAGCAUGAUCGCAAGGACAUGUGGAGCGCUUAGAAGUGAGAAUGCCGGUGUGAGUAGCGAAAGACGGGUGAGAAUCCCGUCCACCGAUUGACUAAGGUUUCCAGAGGAAGGCUCGUCCGCUCUGGGUUAGUCGGGUCCUAAGCUGAGGCCGACAGGCGUAGGCGAUGGAUAACAGGUUGAUAUUCCUGUACCACCAUUAUUCGUUUUAAGCGAUGGGGGGACGCAGUAGGAUAGGCGAAGCGUGCUGUUGGAGUGCACGUCCAAGCAGUGAGAUUGAGUGUUAGGCAAAUCCGGCACUCUUAAGAUUGAGCUGUGAUGGGGAGAGGAACUUGUUCCUCGAGUCGUUGAUUUCACACUGCCGAGAAAAGCCUCUAGCUAGAAUAACGGUGCCCGUACCGCAAACCGACACAGGUAGUCAAGAUGAGAAUUCUAAGGUGAGCGAGCGAACUCUCGUUAAGGAACUC
This 478-nucleotide ribosomal RNA is filed under the name Staphylococcus pseudintermedius. RNAcentral's name for it is "partial 23S ribosomal RNA". It matches the Rfam family "Bacterial large subunit ribosomal RNA", at positions 1239 to 1715 of the family's 2925-position model. Lineage: Bacteria; Bacillati; Bacillota; Bacilli; Caryophanales; Staphylococcaceae. The record is from RNAcentral.